AGUGAACGCUGGCGGCAGGCCUAACACAUGCAAGUCGAGCGGCUGAAGGGUAAUUGCUUCUGGAUUCAGCGGCGGAGGGGUGGGCAAGGCCUAGGAAUCUGCCUGGCUGUGUGGGAUAACGUCCGAAAACAGGCGCUAAUACCGCAUACGCCCAGAGGAAGUAAGGGUGAGAUCAUCGGACCUUCCGAUAUCAGAUGAGCCUAUGUCGGAUUAGCUAGUUGGUGGGGUAAAGGCCUACCAAGGCGACGAUCCGUAACUGGUCUGAGAGGAUGAUCAGCCACACUGGAACUGAGACACGGUCCAGACUCCUACGGGAGGCAGCAGUGGGGAAUAUUGGACAAUGGGCGCAAGCCUGAUCCAGCCAUGCCGCGUGUGUGAAGAAGGUCUUCGGAUUGUAAAGCCCUUUAGUUGGGGAGGAAGGGCAGUAAGUUAAUACCUUGCUGUUUUGACGGUACCCAAAGAAUAAGCACCGGCUAACUUCGUG
RNAcentral lists this ribosomal RNA (484 nucleotides) under uncultured bacterium. Its description in RNAcentral is "partial 16S ribosomal RNA". It matches the Rfam family "Bacterial small subunit ribosomal RNA", at positions 29 to 507 of the family's 1533-position model. The record is from RNAcentral.